GCCCAGAUGGCUCAGUGGUAGAGCACAUUCUUGGUAAGAAUGGGGUCGCGGGUUCGAUUCCCGCUCUGGGCUCCA
This 75-nucleotide transfer RNA is filed under the name Candidatus Roizmanbacteria bacterium RIFCSPLOWO2_01_FULL_45_11. RNAcentral's name for it is "tRNA-Thr". It matches the Rfam family "tRNA". Rfam says of the family: Transfer RNA (tRNA) molecules are approximately 80 nucleotides in length. Lineage: Bacteria; Candidatus Roizmaniibacteriota. The record is from RNAcentral.